CGUCGCUCGCCUCAAUCGUCCUACCAACGGCGCUGCCCGCGAAUCUCGCCGAUCGCGCCUCAAUCUCGUCUUCCCGUAACGCGUUCAUCGCCCCGCCCACUUCCCCAGUCCUGCACUCCCCCUCCGAUCCGAUCGAAUACGUCGGCCACGCCAUACUCCUCCGCCCUCGCCGUCGGCAUCAUCCCCGCCAUCACUGUCGCCGUCGCCAGUUCCACCUCUGACGAACUGGCCUGCCUCGCCUGGAGACCGCCAUCCCCGCGCGCCACGACGGACGCCCGUGCCGCCUUGCCUCGGUGCCGCCGUCCCCACCGCCCCGGAGUGCCGCCACGAUCGACUUGCAAAACCCUAUCCGUCGAUCCGCUUCGGUGAGUCCCAUCCCACCACCCUCCCCUUGCCUGCACUUUGCUAUGUCCUCCAUUCUGCCUCCGUGAAUCCCCAUGCUACUUGCGCGGAUCGAUGGGAUGCUGAGCCGCCGCGCGCCGACGUCGCCGGCGCCCACCGUCUCAUGUGCGCCCCGACGUCUACUCGCGACGAUCGACGGGCUGCUCGCGGAUCCACCGAUCGACCUCCACUCGCGCGGAUCGAUGGGCCGCUGAGCUGCCGCUCGCCGUGGGCCCGUGGCCGGAUCUCCGGCUCCCUCCACCCUGCAUCCCUCCGAACAGUGACCGGCGGCGAUUUCCACCAACAUCACCUCCCCGUCCGCCCCUUGCGUUCCUGUGAGCCGCCAGGUCAUCGCCCAACGCCAUCUUUUUUUCCGAACAGUUUUGGUCACCUGUAGCUGGCCGAAGAGUGCGACCAAGGGCGCUGUUGCUGAGAAUCCAGCGGGCAGCGGGAUCGACGACAUUGCCUCAGUCCCUGGCUCUACGCGGGCAUGUCCAGGUUCCGUGGUGGGAAUCGUUUGAUUUCACCGAUACCUUGAUCAGCAACCAUUUUAGUAGUGUGUGUUGUUUUCAAUUGAUGAGCAUCCUGAUCUCAUUUUUAGACGAUGUUUCUCUUUAUAUGAUAUAUCAGUUCAUUUUUCGUUUUCUUAAUCAACCUGCUGAAGUUGCAUACUUGCAUGCCUGCCCCUGCAAUAGCACCAUGGCUUCUCUAAAACUUUGAGCCCCUGAUCUGACCAGUUAGUAGGUUAGAUAGAUUGUUCAAAUUCCUGGCAAAAUCAAUGUUAGCCACUGUAUGGCCUAUGCAAAUAUUUCAAUUUGGCCAAUCGAUGGUUGUGCGCAAUAGUGAUCUAUCAAUUUCAAUUUGAUCAAUCAGUGCUAGCAACUGUUUGUACUAUGUAAACAAUUAGAUGCUCAGUUGUCCGACUUCAAAUUUACACUUGGUUGCUUUA
Panicum virgatum (switchgrass) is the source of this 1330-nucleotide long non-coding RNA. RefSeq lists it as uncharacterized. Lineage: Eukaryota; Viridiplantae; Streptophyta; Magnoliopsida; Poales; Poaceae. The record is from RefSeq and is a predicted model, not a curated record. The transcript is spliced from 2 exons.